Acinonyx jubatus (cheetah) is the source of this 2589-nucleotide long non-coding RNA. RefSeq lists it as uncharacterized. The record is from RefSeq and is a predicted model, not a curated record. The transcript is spliced from 3 exons. NCBI's taxonomy places the organism in Eukaryota, Metazoa, Chordata, Mammalia, Carnivora, Felidae.
UUACCCAUCAGUGAAGAAAGAAGCGGCAGCAGCUGUGUAGCAGGGGCCCCUGGGGACUAGUGUGAAUUCUUAGGCAAAGAUAAAGCUUGGCAGAGAAAAGGGAGUGGAAUUACCCAAAGCCUGUCUAGAAAAGGAAAAUAGCGUCUUCCAUUCAAGAAGCCCCACUCCCUGCCCCCAUCAGCCAGGAAUUUUCUGGGCUUGGUCAAAGGUCCCUUAAGUGGGAGGAAGCUGCUUCUCCUGCUCUGGGGGGUGGGGCCGCUGAGGCACCUUCCUGGUCUGCUCCUGUUUUUCCUCAGUGAUCCCUUCUCAGGCACCCAGGCCCAUGAUUUCUUGCUCCCCACCCCCGCUGCAAAGAAGACCCAGAAGGUAGGGAACAGAGAGUCAACACACAGCGUGAAGGAGCCAGGCUCCAGCAGUUCCUGGCUUGGGGACACUUGAAGGCCUCCUCUUCCAGAAGCUGCGGAGAGACCUGUCCAGUGGUGGCAAACGUGUCAGGACCUUGAAACACCGAGCAAGACCAUGAGAAGAAGUCCAAAGCUCAGUAUAUCUGACAAGUGCUGUCAUAAGAUAAGCCACCUGACCUGUGGAGGGGAGGUUUAUGCUCAAAGGUGGGACAGAAAUACAGCUCCCCGACACUUCCUGCAGACACGAGGGCCACCCAGAGAGAAAGAACAAAUCCUGGGAUGUCCUUCAGUGACAUCAGGCCUGACACAGACCCACCCCAUCUGCCCCAUCCUCAGUCCAGAUCCCGGGACAGGGCACCAGGAGGGAGGGCGAGGCCAUUUGAAGACGCUUGGUGUUAGGGCAGCAACACGGAGGGAGGUAGGGGGCUUUCCAGAAAAUAUUUCCUGAUUGGCUUCCGCCCAGCAGCUCCAGCCUCAAUCUCAUCCCUUUCCUUCCACACGGGAACACACACACUCACCCCUGCACACGUGUGUGUGCACACACACGCUCACACACACCGUAAGUGUCGGCCUACAGUCUCCUGCAGAAGCUAACUGCAUGAACUCCUGGAGACAUUAAGGAAGAAGGUGUGAGGAGCCCACUUUGCCCACCCUCUGCUUCCUAAGUGGGAGGGGGCUUCAGAGCUCAGGCCCCCACAAAGGUCAAUGUGGGGUGUGGGGCCAGUCUGCAGCAUGCAGGCCCGGAGGGUCCCCCUCAGCUCAGGGUGGGUGUCCCAUGGCUGAGUGGCAGUGGCCUCGGUGCCCCUAUCAGCAGUGACAGGGACAGGGCAGGUCCUCUCUCCCCCUCUGAAGACCCCUGUGCCUCUGCCUCAGCAUCCCCUGCUCUGCUGCUGCUGUCCCCUGUGGGCUGCCAGGGAGGGCCGGGGACUGGGACCCCCACAGGCCAGCUGCCAAAGCUCUUCAGAUCCUUUCUUCUCUGUCUCUCUCCACUGCACGCUCAGGGCACGGCUCAUCUCCUCUGCCGCUUCAGCCUCUGUAUUUGGAUAAUUCUCAGCCUGGAAGCUGACAAGUGUCUGUGCCUUGUUCCAAAGGCCUAGAAACAUUACUCACAAAGUCAGAGGACCAGCACCUCUCAAUUCAGAAACGCAAUUCCCAAUGCUCAAGUUAAAUGAAAGGGGAAAUUCUACUAACUUUGUCGGGGGGGGGUGGGGGGUAGGGUGGGGUGGGGAGCUUCUCUAACUUCAGUAAUUUGUGAACCUAUUAUCCUGACCCUUAUUUUAGAGCAUGAUACCACUUAAAAAUGCAUGGACAUAAAACUAGGUCUAAGCCUUUUAUUUUUACAGCUGUAUAUAACUAUAAUCCUAUUACAUAUGUCUAGGACCCAAUUCCUUAUUAGAAACUCUCGGGGCCAAAUGUGUUUCAGGGUUGAGCAUUUUUCAGAUUUUAGAAGUUACUAAACUGCAUAUGACGUACUACCUCCAGUACUUUCUGGAAGCUUUCUUUAAUCAAAACCAACCAACCAAAAUCAACAACAAAACUACAUGCACUUAUACCUCUGCAGCAAAACAUACAAAUAUUCACCUAAAUAGGCUAAACUGAGACUCUGAAUAGCCUCAGGCCACACCUACUCACAAGCCUAGGAGAAACCUUUUGGUUUUCAGAGCCUUUUGAAUUUCAUAAUUGCAAAUAAGGGAUUGUAGACCUGCAUAAAUUAAACACAACAUGACUACAAAUGGGGUUCACAACGUUAGCACAAUGUUAAUGACGGUGACAGAGGCCGGUGGCCUGCUGAAUUCCAUCGUGGGGGAGGCGGUGGGAGACGGUGGGGCUGGAAGAGGUGUUAAGUCCAUGUAGUCCCCAGGCCUGGGUUGGAAUCUGGCAUCUGUACUCACUGGCUGGGAUGUGUCUGGCAAGUUAACCUUCCUGCAUGGCAAUUUCUUCAUUUUUAAAAGGAAGACAAUACAGGGCGCCUGGGUGGCUCAGUCGGUUACGCGUCCAGCUUCGGCUCAGGUCAUAAUCUCGUGGAUCAUGUGUUUGAGCCCCCCAUUGGGCUCUGUGCUGACAAGAGCCAGGAGCCUGGUUCAGAUUCUGGGUCUCCCUCUCACUCUGCCCCUCACCCGCUAGCACUCUUUCUCUCCGCUCUUUCUCAAAAAUAAAAAAUAAAAUUAGAAAAAAAAUUUAAAAA